RNAcentral lists this ribosomal RNA (2312 nucleotides) under marine metagenome. RNAcentral's name for it is "bacterial LSU rRNA". It matches the Rfam family "Bacterial large subunit ribosomal RNA", at positions 615 to 2925 of the family's 2925-position model. The record is from RNAcentral.
AUGGGUCAGCGACUUACAUUCAGUGGCAAGGUUAACCGAAUAGGGAAGCCGUAGAGAAAUCGAGUCCGAAUAGGGCGUCAUAGUCGCUGGGUGUAGACCCGAAACCAAGUGAUCUAUCCAUGGGCAGGAUGAAGGUGCCGUAACAGGUACUGGAGGUCCGAACCGACUAAUGUUGCAAAAUUAGCGGAUGACCUGUGGAUAGGGGUGAAAGGCUAAACAAACUUGGAAAUAGCUGGUUCUCUCCGAAAACUAUUUAGGUAGUGCCUCAAGUAUUACCGACGGGGGUAGAGCACUGUUUUGGCUAGGGGGUCAUGGCGACUUACCAAACCAAGGCAAACUCCGAAUACCGUCGAGUACAGCUUGGGAGACAGAGCACCGGGUGCUAACGUCCGGACUCAAGAGGGAAACAACCCAGACCGCCAGCUAAGGUCCCUAAAAUUGGCUAAGUGGGAAACGAAGUGGGAAGGCUAAAACAGUCAGGAUGUUGGCUUAGAAGCAGCCAUCAUUUAAAGAAAGCGUAAUAGCUCACUGAUCGAGUCGUCCUGCGCGGAAGAUGUAACGGGGCUAAGCCAGUUACCGAAGCUGCGGAUUUGCAAUUUAUUGCAAGUGGUAGGAGAGCGUUCUGUAAGCCUGUGAAGGUGUCUUGUAAAGGAUGCUGGAGGUAUCAGAAGUGCGAAUGCUGACAUGAGUAGCGUUAAAGGGGGUGAAAAGCCCCCUCGCCGUAAGCGCAAGGUUUUCUACGCAACGUUCAUCGGCGUAGAGUGAGUCGGCCCCUAAGGCGAGGCAGAGAUGCGUAGCUGAUGGGAAACAGGUCAAUAUUCCUGUACCGAUUACAAGUGCGAUGUGGGGACGGAGAAGGUUAGCUCAGCCAACUGUUGGAUAUGUUGGUUCAAGCCUGUAGUCGUGCCCGGUAGGCAAAUCCGCCGGGCUUAGAUGAGGGGUGAUAACGAGUCUGCUUGCAGACGAAGUGAGUGAUACCCUGCUUCCAGGAAAAGCCACUAAGCUUCAGCUACACACGACCGUACCGCAAACCGACACUGGUGCGCGAGAUGAGUAUUCUAAGGCGCUUGAGAGAACUCAGGAGAAGGAACUCGGCAAAUUGAUACCGUAACUUCGGGAGAAGGUAUGCCCCUAGUAGGUGAACUCGAACAGAGGGAGCCCAAUGGGGUUGCAAAAAAUCGGUGGCUGCGACUGUUUAAUAAAAACACAGCACUCUGCAAACACGAAAGUGGACGUAUAGGGUGUGACGCCUGCCCGGUGCUGGAAGAUUAAAUGAUGGGGUGCAAGCUCUUGAUUGAAGUCCCAGUAAACGGCGGCCGUAACUAUAACGGUCCUAAGGUAGCGAAAUUCCUUGUCGGGUAAGUUCCGACCUGCACGAAUGGCGUAACGAUGGCCACACUGUCUCCUCCAGAGACUCAGCGAAGUUGAAAUGUUUGUGAUGAUGCAAUCUCCCCGCGGAAAGACGGAAAGACCCCAUGAACCUUUACUGUAGCUUUGUAUUGGACUUUGAACAGAUCUGUGUAGGAUAGGUGGGAGGCUUUGAAGCCGGGACGCUAGUCUCGGUGGAGCCAACGUUGAAAUACCACCCUGGUGUGUUUGAGGUUCUAACCUAGGUCCAUUAUCUGGAUCGGGGACAGUGCAUGGUAGGCAGUUUGACUGGGGCGGUCUCCUCCCAAAGUGUAACGGAGGAGUUCGAAGGUACGCUAGUUACGGUCGGACAUCGUGAUAAUAGUGCAAUGGCAUAAGCGUGCUUAACUGCGAGACUGACAAGUCGAGCAGAUGCGAAAGCAGGACAUAGUGAUCCGGUGGUUCUGUAUGGAAGGGCCAUCGCUCAACGGAUAAAAGGUACUCUGGGGAUAACAGGCUGAUACCGCCCAAGAGUUCAUAUCGACGGCGGUGUUUGGCACCUCGAUGUCGGCUCAUCUCAUCCUGGGGCUGUAGCCGGUCCCAAGGGUAUGGCUGUUCGCCAUUUAAAGAGGUACGUGAGCUGGGUUUAAAACGUCGUGAGACAGUUUGGUCCCUAUCUUCCGUGGGCGCUGCAGAUUUGAGGAAGCCUGCUCCUAGUACGAGAGGACCGGAGUGGACACACCUCUGGUGUAUCGGUUGUCACGCCAGUGGCAUUGCCGAGUAGCUAAGUGUGGAAGAGAUAACCGCUGAAAGCAUCUAAGCGGGAAACUCGUUUCAAGAUGAGAUCUGCCGGGGCCUUGAGCCCCCUAAAGAGUCGUUCAAGACCAGGACGUUGAUAGGUCAGGUGUGGAAGCGCAGUAAUGCGUUAAGCUAACUGAUACUAAUUGCUCGUGCGGCUUGACCCU